Molecule: long non-coding RNA, 564 nt
Filed under: Pogona vitticeps (central bearded dragon)
Lineage: Eukaryota; Metazoa; Chordata; Lepidosauria; Squamata; Agamidae
Description: lncRNA (ENSPVIG00000022511.1)
Source: RNAcentral
GAGUGAGAGCAAAGAAGGGAAGGAACCAUGUUUGAACUGUUUUUUGUGGUUGCUGCUUUGCUGAAUCAAUGCACAUCCUCCAGUGGUCUGGCACCUAAGGAGGGAAGUAGACUUCUUUUAAAAUGAUUACAGUGCUUCUAGAUUAACAAGAAAAUUGAUGAUUGCAUGAGAAAUUUGUACUAUUUUUCUUUCUUUUUCCUCCCACAGGGCAUGAAAUUUAUCUCAUCAUAACAGUGCUGGCUCUACCAUUAGGGCAAGAAGAACAAUGGCACAUGGUAGUAACCACAAGGAAAAUAGACGGGACACGGGAGAUAUGGCGGAUGGAAACUGAUGAGAGAAAUUGACCAUGGGCUGGCAGAUGAUUGGUAAGCAGACAGAUGAAAAAAUAAAGAAGGAAAGGGGAAGUCAAUGUUUGGGGACCAUCAUCUAUUACAACUUCCAGAAAAACCUUCAGCUAGAACCAGGGCGAAGGCCGCUGCUCUAAUUGCCUGGCUUCCUGCCCACAGCUUACAACCAUUUGAUGCUGUCUGGUGACAAUAAAAUAGAUUUUCAGCCCUUUGCUCA